GGAGGAGAGGGAUGGGAGGUGACCAUGAUAUGAUUGGGUACUGUAAGUUACCUCCCUUGCAUGGGAGAAAUGCAUAAAAGCAGACCUGUGAAUAAAGCUGAGAGCUGACUCCCAGACUGUGUCGUCUAGUCCUUGGGGAGGUGGAUUAUGCUGUGUUCCUGUGAUUUUGUAUGCUGAAUCUUUGUUCCCAGCGGAGAGCUAUUGGAUUAACCCCUGCUACUCCGCUACACUCCUAUUAAAGUAAUACUGCGUUUCAAACGUCAUGUGGUGUUAAACUAGCAUUAGGUACGUUCAGAUACAUUGGCUACCAAUCAAACACGUCCGCGUCAAUCACUACAAAUACCAUUCAGGUAAAAACCAUUAGCAUGUCAACUAAAAGAUACGGUAAACAAGAGUUUCUCGGUGAGUUUGAGUUUUUUCAGGUAUUCAAACAUUAAAUUUUUUUUCCUUUAUGUUCAUAUCAAAUAUCAAGGCCUCACUCUGCCUUCGUUAUGACUACCAAAUGCAAUUUGAAACCCUCAACAUUAACAAGGGGCUUGUCU
Molecule: non-coding RNA, 542 nt
Organism: Pelobates cultripes (western spadefoot toad)
Lineage: Eukaryota; Metazoa; Chordata; Amphibia; Anura; Pelobatidae
Source: the annotation of a GenBank genome assembly